This 221-nucleotide unclassified non-coding RNA is filed under the name Hevea brasiliensis (rubber tree). The record is from RNAcentral. Lineage: Eukaryota; Viridiplantae; Streptophyta; Magnoliopsida; Malpighiales; Euphorbiaceae.
GACUUGGUCGGCUUUGAAAACACAAUGCGAUUAUUACGGUGUUUGUGGUGCGUUUGGGCUCUGUAAUGGCAAAGCGUCCCCUGUUUGCAGCUGUUUAACAGGGUUUAAACCAAAGGAUGAAAAGGAAUGGAAACGAGGGAAUUGGAGUAAUGGGUGUGUGAGAAUUACGGCAUUGCAGUGUGAGAAAUCCAACAACCCCAACACCAGCGGUGAGGAAGAUG